Molecule: ribosomal RNA, 440 nt
Filed under: uncultured bacterium
Lineage: Bacteria
Description: partial 16S ribosomal RNA
Rfam family: Bacterial small subunit ribosomal RNA
Source: RNAcentral
CCUACGGGGGGCAGCAGUGGGGGAUAUUGCACAAUGGGGGGAACCCUGAUGCAGCGACGCCGCGUGGGUGAAGAAGCGCCUCGGCGCGUAAAGCCCUGUCAGCAGGGAAGAAAAUGACGGUACCUGAAGAAGAAGCCCCGGCUAACUACGUGCCAGCAGCCGCGGUAAUACGUAGGGGGCAAGCGUUAUCCGGAUUUACUGGGUGUAAAGGGGGCGAAGACGGAGAUGCAAGCCAGGAGUGAAAGCCCGGGGCCCAACCCCGGGACUGCUCUUGGAACUGCGUGGCUAGAGUGCAGGAGGGGCAGGCGGAAGGCCUGGUGUAGCGGUGAAAUGCGUAGAGAUCAGGAGGAACACCGGUGGCGAAGGCGGCCUGCUGGACUGCAACUGACGUUGAGGCCCGAAAGCGUGGGGAGCAAACAGGAUUAGAUACCCCGGUAGUC